UGAAUUGAGUUCAUCCAAUGAGUUAUUUGUUUGAGUGAUACACUAAAAAAACUGAGUCAUUGGAUUGGAUUCCUUCUAUUAAAUAUAUGUCGUCCCAACUAAAUUACAUUCUAUUAUCUUGCAUUGAUGUUUUUUAUUUGAGUUGGGGCUACAUAUAUUUAUUAGAUGGAAAUCCUGCACAUAAUUGAAUUGAGUUCAUCCACCAUUUUUUGAGCAAAAUUAUAAUUU
Molecule: long non-coding RNA, 228 nt
Organism: Thalassophryne amazonica
Lineage: Eukaryota; Metazoa; Chordata; Actinopteri; Batrachoidiformes; Batrachoididae
Exons: 3
Source: RefSeq, a predicted model, not a curated record